UUGUUUAAAUAAAAGAUCUGGCCUGCCCAAUGAUUUUUUAAUGGCUGCAGUAUAUUGACUGUACAAAGGUAGCAUAAUCAUUUGUCCUUUAAUUGAGGUCUGGAAUGAAUGGUUGGAUGAGAAGUAAACUUUCUUUAUUUUAUAAAUAAAAUUUAAUUUCUUAAUCAAAAAGUUAAGAUUUUGAUAUAGGACGAGAAGACCCUAUAGAACUUUAUUUCCUCUAAGAUAAUUAUUUACUUGUAAAUAAUUAUUUAUUACCUUAGAGGAAAUUUUGUUGGGGUGACAAAAAAAAUUUAAUAACUUUUUUUAUAUUUAUUAUUUAUAUAUAAUUUUUUGAUCCUUUAGUAGGGAUAAUAAGAUUAAGUUACCUUAGGGAUAACAGCGUUAUUAUUUUAGAGAGUUCAUAUUGAUAAAAUAGUUUGCGACCUCGAUGUUGGAUUAAAAUUAGUUUCAGGGGCAGAAUAUUGAUUUACUAGGUCUGUUCGACCUUUAAAUUUU
Molecule: ribosomal RNA, 498 nt
Filed under: Wallabicoris rhamnicola
Lineage: Eukaryota; Metazoa; Arthropoda; Insecta; Hemiptera; Miridae
Description: partial 16S ribosomal RNA
Rfam family: Bacterial large subunit ribosomal RNA
Source: RNAcentral